AGCAGCCGCGGUAAUUCCAGCUCCAAUAGCGUAUAUUAAAGUUGUUGCAGUUAAAAAGCUCGUAGUUGAAUUUUGGGUUUGGCCGAUUGGUCCGUUCUUGUAACGAGUACUGGUCGGUUGGGCCUCACCGCUUGGUGAUGCGGAAUGUCCUUUAUUGGGUGUUGCGAGUAGCCAAGACCUUUACCUUGAAAAAAUUAGAGUGUUUAAAGCAGGCUUAUGCCAGAAUACAUUAGCAUGGAAUAAUAGAAUAGGACGAUGAUUCUAUUUUGUUGGUUUCUAGGAGCAUCGUAAUGAUUAAUAGGGAUAGUUGGGGGCAUUAGUAUUCAAUUGUCAGAGGUGAAAUUCUUGGAUUUAUUGAAGACUAACUACUGCGAAAGCAUUUGCCAAGGAUGUUUUCAUUAAUCAAGAACGAAAGUUAGGGGAUCGAAGACGAUCAGAUACCGUCGUAGU
RNAcentral lists this ribosomal RNA (450 nucleotides) under uncultured Glomeromycotina. RNAcentral's name for it is "SSU rRNA". It matches the Rfam family "Eukaryotic small subunit ribosomal RNA", at positions 569 to 1024 of the family's 1831-position model. The record is from RNAcentral. Lineage: Eukaryota; Fungi; Glomeromycota.